This 883-nucleotide long non-coding RNA is filed under the name Pogona vitticeps (central bearded dragon). Its description in RNAcentral is "lncRNA (ENSPVIG00000023993.1)". The record is from RNAcentral. Lineage: Eukaryota; Metazoa; Chordata; Lepidosauria; Squamata; Agamidae.
UCCCUGACCUAAUAAAUGACUUAAGUUUUAAAAGCACACAUGUCUCCUUGGUUAAGUGGUAUUAAGCAGUAAUACCCGGUGGCAGCGAAGAAAGAAGAAGGGCGAGAACCUUGUGAAGGCCUGGGGGAAAUAAGGGCUUCAGGGGGGAUCGCCACGGGCGAGAACCUCGUGAAGGCCUGAGGGAAAUAGGGGCUUCAGGGGAGAUCGCCACACUCAUCACAUGCCAAGCCGGGCUUCAUAAAGUUGCUUUCUUUGACUGUAGUUCCCACAAUUCUCCUAACCAGCCUAGCCAUAGGUCAGAAUCCUCCGAUGUCAGAAUGAGGUCACAAUCUGGUCUGUAUCCAGUUCAACAUGUUUGAAUACAAAGGUAUUGAAACCAAGCUUGUAAAAGUUGAACAUCUAGAACCUAGAUGGAUGAAUCUGUCCUUUUACAUGUCUUCCACACUUCUUUUUCUUUUUUAUUUAUUUCUUUAAGAUUUGUCUUGUCAGGUUUCUUUUCAAAGCAAAGGACUUAUAAAGCACAUUUUCGUCCCAGCCCGAAUAGGAAGACAUUUAGUCCCAUCACACAAAAUAGAUGGAAAUGUCCGUCGGCAGUCAGACAUCUGCAAAUUUCACUAUUUGAGCAAGUCUUACAAUCCCACAGCCAGUAGAGUCAACAGGGAUCCAAAAAUUAAUUCUUCUAUGCUCAGAUUGAUAGCAGUCUACAACAGAUGCUGCAUUUUGCCUUGAUUGGCUUUGACUCCAUGGGAAAACAGCUGCAUAGUGUUCGAAGAUCAAAAUGUUACUUGGAGCAGGUUUGAAUUUUCAUUAACAAUCCAACAGAAGAUGCAGUAGAGCAGAAGACCUGCUGAAAGGAGGUCAUGAGUGGGAGGGGAAGAACGCA